AGCGGCGGACGGGUGAGUAAUGCUUAGGAAUCUGCCAUUUAGUGGGGGACAACAUUCCGAAAGGAAUGCUAAUACCGCAUACGUCCUACGGGAGAAAGCAGGGGAUCUUCGGACCUUGCGCUAAAUGAUGAGCCUAAGUCGGAUUAGCUAGUUGGUGGGGUAAAGGCCUACCAAGGCGACGAUCUGUAGCGGGUCUGAGAGGAUGAUCCGCCACACUGGGACUGAGACACGGCCCAGACUCCUACGGGAGGCAGUAGUGGGGAAUAUUGGACAAUGGGCGGAAGCCUGAUCCAGCCAUGCCGCGUGUGUGAAGAAGGCCUUUUGGUUGUAAAGCACUUUAAGCGAGGAGGAGGCUACCUAGAUUAAUACUCUGGGAUAGUGGACGUUACUCGCAGAAUAAGCACCGGCUAACUCUGUGCCAGCAGCCGCGGUAAUACAGAGGGUGCGAGCGUUAAUCGGAUUUACUGGGCGUAAAGCGUGCGUAGGCGGCUUUUUAAGUCGGAUGUGAAAUCCCCGAGCUUAACUUGGGAAUUGCAUUCGAUACUGGGAAGCUAGAGUAUGGGAGAGGAUGGUAGAAUUCCAGGUGUAGCGGUGAAAUGCGUAGAGAUCUGGAGGAAUACCGAUGGCGAAGGCAGCCAUCUGGCCUAAUACUGACGCUGAGGUACGAAAGCAUGGGGAGCAAACAGGAUUAGAUACCCUGGUAGUCCAUGCCGUANACGAUGUCUACUAGC
Molecule: ribosomal RNA, 731 nt
Filed under: uncultured bacterium
Lineage: Bacteria
Description: bacterial SSU rRNA
Rfam family: Bacterial small subunit ribosomal RNA
Source: RNAcentral